CAGCCACAUUGACUUCAGAUUCUAAUGGGGUUCUGGCCACGAGUUUGCCCUUGUCAGUAAAGGCCUGAAAUUGAGCCCUGUCCUCCUGAGGGCUCCUGUCUGGGAGGUGCCGUGAACCUAGAUUGCUGCGGGGGGCAAAAGUGCUUCCUGGAAGCUGGUGGCAUGUAAAGGCCUAAGGAACGAAGGGUGGCCCUCGAGUUCUUGAGGCUGUGAAGUUUUGCGUCCAUCUGCUCCGAAAACAGGGAGAUCCCGGACAGACCGCUGAAUUUAAUGAGGGAGACCAGAGGAUUGGAGCCAUGAACAAUGCCUCAUGGUGACUGUAGACGCCAUAGUCGCGGCUGCCGAGUUGGCCACAUCCAGAGCUGCCUAGAGGGAGGUCCUGGCCACACUCUUGCUCUCCUCCAGAAUGGCUGCAAACUCCUGCCUCAACUCCUGUAGAAGGGAGUCAUUAAAACUGGACAAUAAGUUCCAUAGAUCAAAAUCGUGCCUCCACAGCAAAGCCUAUUAGUUAGAGAUACAUAACUGGGGGCUACCCUUCGAAUAAACUUUUUGUCCAAACAGG
This is a long non-coding RNA of Mauremys reevesii (Reeves's turtle), 562 nucleotides long. RefSeq lists it as uncharacterized. Lineage: Eukaryota; Metazoa; Chordata; Testudines; Geoemydidae. The transcript is spliced from 2 exons. The record is from RefSeq and is a predicted model, not a curated record.